RNAcentral lists this ribosomal RNA (345 nucleotides) under Triticum aestivum (bread wheat). RNAcentral's name for it is "partial small subunit ribosomal RNA". Lineage: Eukaryota; Viridiplantae; Streptophyta; Magnoliopsida; Poales; Poaceae. The record is from RNAcentral.
AUGGAUGGAGAUCAAUCUCCCCCGUGCCUCUCAGUUCCAAUUCCUAUUUCCUCUAACAGCAAGAAAAUCAUCCAUAUAUCUAGAGAGCGAAGAUCAUCAGUUAUGAACUAUGUAGGCUUGAAAGGCGCCGAGAACGAUUUUAUGCCGAUCAGGCAAAGUCUGUUAACCACUUUAUUUGUCCAAGCUCACUUGGUGGAGGAGAUGGCGAUCGAACUGGACGGGGAGGGACCUUUGUGUGCCAGCAACCAUGGGCACCGCUAUAUGCACGACACUAUGCACACGAUUCACAGACGACAAUUAAAUCAGUCCGUUGAUGCAUGUGAACAGACACCAGCACAGCCAUAG